Molecule: ribosomal RNA, 495 nt
Filed under: uncultured bacterium
Lineage: Bacteria
Description: partial 16S ribosomal RNA
Rfam family: Bacterial small subunit ribosomal RNA
Source: RNAcentral
GACGAACGCUGGCGGCGUGCCUAAUACAUGCAAGUCGAACGCUGAAGGAGGAGCUUGCUUCCCUGGAUGUGUUGCGAACGGGUGAGUAACGCGUAGGUAACCUGCCUGGUAGCGGGGGAUAACUCUUGGAAACGAUAGCUAAUACCGCAUAUUAGUAGAUGAUGCACGACAUUUGCUUAAAAAAUGCAGUUGUAUCUCUACUAGAUGGACCUGCGUUGUAUUAGCUAGUUGGUGGGGUAACGGCUCCUUAAGGCGACGAUACAUCGUCGGCCUUGGAGGGGGGUCGGCCAACCUGGGAAGUGGACACGGCUCAGAAUGCUUCGGGAGGCAGCAGGAGGGAAUCUUCGGCAAUGGACGGAAGUCUUACCGAGCAACGCCGCGUUGGUGAAGAAGGGUUUCGGAUCGGAAAGCCCUGUUAUUUGGGAAGAACGAAGGUUAGAGUGGAAAGUGCACACUGUGACGGUAUCUUACCAGAAAGGGACGGCUAACUACGUG